CCAAAUCGGAUCCGAGAGUCUUUUUCUAAAGGCCAGUACUGGCCACACUUUCUCCUGCCGCCUUCCUCAAAGCUGAAGACACACAGAGCAAGGCUUCUUCUGUUUUACUCCCCAAUGGUAACUCCAAACCACAGAUGUUAGCUCCCUGCUCAUCCCUUCACAUCCCUGCUAUUCAGUGUGGUCUGUGGACCAAUCACACCAGCAUGGUAUGGGAGAGUGUAGGAAACAUGAAUCUGCACAUUAACAAGAUCUCCAGGAGAGUCAUAGAAAAUGAGGAGUGAAAUGGCCAGCUGAAAACCUCACUUCAAUAAAUGUUGCUGGGACAAGUGGAUAUCUACAUGCAGAAAAAUCAAGCUGACUCCUUCCUCACACCAUGCACAAAAAUUGACUCAAAAUGGAUCACAGACCAAAUGUAAGAGUUAAAACUAUCAGCAUAAAAUAUAAGAGUAAAUCUUUGUGACCUUGGUUUAGGGAAAGCCUUCACAGAUAUGACACCAAAGGCAUAAGUGACAAAAGAAAAGACAUAAA
Molecule: long non-coding RNA, 528 nt
Organism: Sapajus apella (tufted capuchin)
Lineage: Eukaryota; Metazoa; Chordata; Mammalia; Primates; Cebidae
Exons: 3
Source: RefSeq, a predicted model, not a curated record